GCUCGGAAGGAAUUGGUCCUGUUAGCUGGUUAGCACCCAAAUCCAAGACCUUCAGGUUUUUCAAUAGGCCAAUCUCCUUAGGAAUUGUACCAAUCAGCACAUUUCCAUGCAAAAUUAGUUCUUGCAAAGAGGAGAGUAAAUGCAAGUUGGGUGAAAGAAACCCCUUCAACGAAGCGCCAGAAAUGUUUAUUUUUAUGACAUGAUCUUGAGCCAUAGAACAAA
Molecule: unclassified non-coding RNA, 222 nt
Filed under: Hevea brasiliensis (rubber tree)
Lineage: Eukaryota; Viridiplantae; Streptophyta; Magnoliopsida; Malpighiales; Euphorbiaceae
Source: RNAcentral